CACCUUAUUUCACUUCAUCCUUCUUGUAACCAUAUUGUCAAUUAGGAAAGCUCAAUCAGAUACAAAAACAGGAAAUUCGUUAAAAGUAACAUUUGUAGAAGAUACUAGUUGAGGAGGAGAGACUUUUGAGGAAGGCUGUGUGUGUUUGUGACACUCUUGUGACCGUGCCAAGAAAACGUAAGCAAAUACCAAGCCUCCAAAUCCUAAUGCAACAAGUCCUGAAUCCCUUGCAGGUAUGUCCUGGAUGAUGAAUACACAAGCUCAGUAGGCUCCAAAUUUCCAGUCCGGUGGUCCCCCCCGGAAGUCCUGAUGUAUAGCAAGUUCAGCAGCAAAUCUGACAUUUGGGCUUUUGGGGUUUUGAUGUGGGAAAUUUACUCCCUGGGGA
Molecule: small RNA, 385 nt
Filed under: Pongo abelii (Sumatran orangutan)
Lineage: Eukaryota; Metazoa; Chordata; Mammalia; Primates; Hominidae
Description: processed transcript
Source: RNAcentral